UACGUAGGAAGCGAGCGUUGUCCGGAUUUACUGGGCGUAAAGGGCGUGUAGGCGGAGCGGCGCAUCCUGGAGUAAAUCUAUCGGCUCAACUGAUAGGCUUUCUAGGAGAUGGCCGCCCUUGAGGACAGCAGAGGAAAGUGGAAUUCCCGGUGUAGCGGUGAAAUGCGCAGAUAUCAGGAGGAACACCGGUGGCGAAGGCGGAUCUCUGGGCCAUUACUGACGCUGAGGAGCGAAAGCGUGGGGAGCGAACAGG
This 253-nucleotide ribosomal RNA is filed under the name uncultured bacterium. RNAcentral describes it as "partial 16S ribosomal RNA". It matches the Rfam family "Bacterial small subunit ribosomal RNA", at positions 524 to 776 of the family's 1533-position model. The record is from RNAcentral.